UUAAGCAUAUCAAUAAGCGGAGGAAAAGAAACCAACAGGGAUUGCCCUAGUAACGGCGAGUGAAGCGGCAACAGCUCAAAUUUGAAAUCUGGCUUCGGCCCGAGUUGUAAUUUGCAGAGGAAGCUUUAGGCGCGGCACCUUCUGAGUCCCCUGGAACGGGGCGCCAUAGAGGGUGAGAGCCCCGUAUAGUUGGAUGCCUAGCCUGUGUAAAGCUCCUUCGACGAGUCGAGUAGUUUGGGAAUGCUGCUCAAAAUGGGAGGUAAAUUUCUUCUAAAGCUAAAUACCGGCCAGAGACCGAUAGCGCACAAGUAGAGUGAUCGAAAGAUGAAAAGCACUUUGAAAAGAGGGUUAAAUAGCACGUGAAAUUGUUGAAAGGGAAGCGCUUGUGACCAGACUUGCGCCGGGCGGAUCAUCCGGUGUUCUCACCGGUGCACUCCGCCCGGCUCAGGCCAGCAUCGGUUCUCGCGGGGGGAUAAAGGUCCUGGGAACGUAGCUCCUCCGGGAGUGUUAUAGCCCGGGGCGUAAUGCCCUCGCGGGGACCGAGGUUCGCGCAUCUGCAAGGAUGCUGGCGUAAUGGUCAUCAGCGACCCGUCUUGAAACACGGACCAAGGAGUCAAGGUUUUGCGCGAGUGUUUGGGUGUAAAACCCGCACGCGUAAUGAAAGUGAACGUAGGUGAGAGCUUCGGCGCAUCAUCGACCGAUCCUGAUGUUUUCGGAUGGAUUUGAGUAGGAGCGUUAAGCCUUGGACCCGAAAGAUGGUGAACUAUGCUUGGAUAGGGUGAAGCCAGAGGAAACUCUGGUGGAGGCUCGCAGCGGUUCUGACGUGCAAAUCGAUCGUCAAAUCUGAGCAUGGGGGCGAAAGCCUAAUCGAACCAUCUAGUAGCUGGUUACCGCCGAA
RNAcentral lists this ribosomal RNA (898 nucleotides) under Chaetomium globosum var. flavoviride. Its description in RNAcentral is "LSU rRNA". It matches the Rfam family "Eukaryotic large subunit ribosomal RNA", at positions 34 to 965 of the family's 3401-position model. The record is from RNAcentral. Lineage: Eukaryota; Fungi; Ascomycota; Sordariomycetes; Sordariales; Chaetomiaceae.